GCCCCUGUAGCUCAGUUGGCUAGAGCAGCGGACUCUUAAUCCGCGUGUCCAGGGUUCGAGCCCCUGCGGGGGCA
Molecule: transfer RNA, 74 nt
Filed under: Pseudoscardovia suis
Lineage: Bacteria; Bacillati; Actinomycetota; Actinomycetes; Bifidobacteriales; Bifidobacteriaceae
Also listed under: 2 other names
Description: Bifidobacterium sp. DPTE4 tRNA
Rfam family: tRNA
About the family: Transfer RNA (tRNA) molecules are approximately 80 nucleotides in length. Their secondary structure includes four short double-helical elements and three loops (D, anti-codon, and T loops).
Source: Rfam by way of RNAcentral